ACAUCAAUCCCAUUAAUCCUACCCAAAUGAAACCCCUUUUCAUCCACCGAAUCGACAAAUUCCAACGACCCAUUAACCAAAUCAGCUGUAUAAAGCAACAGCGAACCCGAAAACGUGGAAGCAGCUAUAAGGGGUUUGUUGGGGUUAUGCGAAGUUGUCAAUGAAGUGAUCCUUGAUGGGGUUGUGAGUGAAGAUUGAAAUGUGAGUUCUGGUGUGUUUGAGCUUGAAUUUGAACUGUUUAAGAUUUGGAGUGAAGAAGUUGAGGAUUCGGAAUCGAAAGCUGCAAGGAUGAUGUGACGGUGGAAAGCAGAGAGCUGAGGGAGCCAACGGAGGGAGUCAAUGUAGUAAUCUUGAGGAAACCGGUGGACUUGGAGAUUUUGUGAAGAAGAAGUGAGUACUGCCAUUGUUGUGUGAGAAUUUGGAGAAAGAGAAGA
RNAcentral lists this unclassified non-coding RNA (434 nucleotides) under Hevea brasiliensis (rubber tree). The record is from RNAcentral. Lineage: Eukaryota; Viridiplantae; Streptophyta; Magnoliopsida; Malpighiales; Euphorbiaceae.